CUUGCUCUUCGGCGGUUAGCGGCGGACGGGUGAGUAACACGUAGGCAACCUGCCUGUACGACUGGGAUAACUCCGGGAAACCGGAGCUAAUACCGGAUACGUUUUUCAGACCGCAUGGUCUGAAAGAGAAAGACCUUUGGUCACGUACAGAUGGGCCUGCGGCGCAUUAGCUAGUUGGUGGGGUAACGGCCUACCAAGGCGACGAUGCGUAGCCGACCUGAGAGGGUGAUCGGCCACACUGGGACUGAGACACGGCCCAGACUCCUACGGGAGGCAGCAGUAGGGAAUCUUCCGCAAUGGACGAAAGUCUGACGGAGCAACGCCGCGUGAACGAUGAAGGUUUUCGGAUCGUAAAGUUCUGUUGUUAGGGAAGAACCGCCGGGAUGACCUCCCGGUCUGACGGUACCUAACGAGAAAGCCCCGGCUAACUACGUGCCAGCAGCCGCGGUAAUACGUAGGGGGCAAGCGUUGUCCGGAAUUAUUGGGCGUAAAGCGCGCGCAGGCGGCUUCUUAAGUCAGGUGUGAAAGCCCACGGCUCAACCGUGGAGGGCCACUUGAAACUGGGAGGCUUGAGUGCAGGAGAGGAGAGCGGAAUUCCACGUGUAGCGGUGAAAUGCGUAGAGAUGUGGAGGAACACCCGUGGCGAAGGCGGCUCUCUGGCCUGUAACUGACGCUG
This 676-nucleotide ribosomal RNA is filed under the name Aneurinibacillus aneurinilyticus. RNAcentral's name for it is "bacterial SSU rRNA". It matches the Rfam family "Bacterial small subunit ribosomal RNA", at positions 73 to 748 of the family's 1533-position model. Lineage: Bacteria; Bacillati; Bacillota; Bacilli; Caryophanales; Paenibacillaceae. The record is from RNAcentral.